This 481-nucleotide small RNA is filed under the name Pongo abelii (Sumatran orangutan). Its description in RNAcentral is "retained intron". Lineage: Eukaryota; Metazoa; Chordata; Mammalia; Primates; Hominidae. The record is from RNAcentral.
AGCGGCAGGGCAGCCCCUGCUUGGGGUAGCGGGAGGGUAGAUUCUGGGCGCCACUCCCGGGCCGGUCAUGAACGGGCCGGCGGACGGCGAAGUGGACUACAAAAAAAAAUACCGGAAUCUGAAGCGGAAGCUCAAGUUCCUCAUCUACGUGAGUGCUGCGCGGGAAGGCUGUGGGGGGUGAGGCCUGGCGCGGACAAGAUCGCAGUUUACCCAGGUGUAAAGUGGGUGGGGCGAGCGGCCGCUGGUUCCGGGGCCCUUCACGGAGGACCGUUGGCCCAGCGCACCCCUUGCCCGUGAUACAGGAGCACGAGUGCUUCCAGGAGGAGCUGAGGAAAGCUCAAAGGAAAUUACUGAAGGUGUCCCGGGACAAGAGUUUCCUCCUAGACCGACUUCUGCAGUACGAGAACGUGGAUGAAGACUCUUCGGACUCAGAUGCCACUGCAUCAUCAGAUAACAGCGAGACAGAGGGGACACCCAAGUU